This 301-nucleotide ribosomal RNA is filed under the name uncultured bacterium. Its description in RNAcentral is "partial 16S ribosomal RNA". It matches the Rfam family "Bacterial small subunit ribosomal RNA", at positions 509 to 809 of the family's 1533-position model. The record is from RNAcentral.
CAGCACCGCGGGAAUACGUAUGUCACAAGCGUUAUCCGGAUUUAUUGGGCGUAAAGCGCGUCUAGGUGGUUAUGUAAGUCUGAUGUGAAAAUGCAGGGCUCAACUCUGUAUUGCGUUGGAAACUGUGUAACUAGAGUACUGGAGAGGUAAGCGGGACUACAAGUGUAGAGGUGAAAUUCGUAGAUAUUUGUAGGAAUGCCGAUGGGGAAGCCAGCUUACUGGACAGAUACUGACGCUAAAGCGCGAAAGCGUGGGUAGCAAACAGGAUUAGAUACCCGAGUAGUCCCUGUCUCUUAUACAA